GAUGAACGCUGGCGGCGUGCCUAAUACAUGCAAGUCGAGCGAACGGACGCGAAGCUUGCUUCUCGGAUGUUAGCGGCGGACGGGAGAGUAACACGUGGAUAACCUACCUAUAAGACUGGGAUAACUUCGGAAAACCGGAGCUAAUACCGGAUAAUAUUUUGAACCGCAUGGUUCAAAAGUAAAAGUCGGUCUUGCUGUCACUUAUAGAUGGAUCCGCGCUGCAUUAGCUAGUUGGUAAGGUAACGGCUUAUCAAGGCAACGAUGCAUAGCCGACCUGAGAGGGUGAUGCGCCACACAGGAACUGAGACACGAUCCAGAGUCCGACGGGAGGCAGCAGUAGCUAAGGUUGCGAGAUGUGCGAAAGCCUGAAGGAGCAACGCAGCGUGGGUGAUGAAGGGCUUCGGACCGGAAAACGCUGUUCUUAGGGAAGAACAUAUGUGUAAGUAACUGUGCGCAUCUUGACGGUACCUAAACAGAAAGCCACGGCUAACUCCGU
RNAcentral lists this ribosomal RNA (496 nucleotides) under uncultured bacterium. Its description in RNAcentral is "partial 16S ribosomal RNA". It matches the Rfam family "Bacterial small subunit ribosomal RNA", at positions 28 to 506 of the family's 1533-position model. The record is from RNAcentral.